Cinara cedri is the source of this 739-nucleotide non-coding RNA. Lineage: Eukaryota; Metazoa; Arthropoda; Insecta; Hemiptera; Aphididae. The record is from the annotation of a GenBank genome assembly.
CUUCGCUCGAAUUUAAUGAAAUUAAUGUAUACUCUUAAACUAACUCUUAUUUAACUAGAUGUUUAUUUUGUUUUUUCAAAUAAUAAUUUUACUUAAACUAGUUAAACAGUUUGGUUAACUUGACCAGCUUUGGUUAUCCGAUUCACAAUAUCGCUAAUAUUAUUUCAAUGAUAGUAAUUAUAGACACGGUUAAGUGUUUACACUGUUUGUUCAGGCCUGAUAGGAACUGCUUCAACGAAGUCGGUGUACUCGAUUCUUAAAUUGGGAACAAAUCAGAUGAAGGCCGCACAAACGUAUGCACAAAAUAUACUAUCUUUGAGAUUCGAUUUUCAUUAUGGAAAUUUCCGAUUAUAUUAUAUGUUAUAAUGUCGGAAAAUGUCCAUUAACAACGGAUCAUAAUUACGAAAAACUAGAAGAGGUACGCCAUAAACAUUUUAGGAAAUAUGAGUAACACCGACGUCCCCCGAAUGAAUGUCUUGAUUUUUGAAAUCCGAAAUUCGCAGUCGGUGAAAAACCGCGAUAGGCUUAGAUAGAAAGCGGCCAAUAACGGAAAAAAAUAAAAAUUGCUUUAAUAUUAAGCGUAUGCGAGCAUAUUGUUUUCACGACCGUGGGAUUCGGACCCGACGGUAUAUUGUUCAGAUGGACGCCGUUAAUCCGUUUAAACACUCGGACGGCCGUAAGUAAUACGUAUUUAAUAAUGUUUGAAACGAAAAACGUAUUACUAUAUGGCCAGUUAGAG